Non-coding RNA from Ictidomys tridecemlineatus (thirteen-lined ground squirrel), 807 nucleotides. NCBI's taxonomy places the organism in Eukaryota, Metazoa, Chordata, Mammalia, Rodentia, Sciuridae. The record is from RefSeq and is a predicted model, not a curated record.
CCCUCUAGGCAAGGUCAGCAGAAGGGCACUAGGAAGAAAUUCCUGUUUUUUCCUUAGAGAUCAGAAAGCCUGGGAUGCGAUCCUGUGUCACUGUUUAAGGAGAUCAGUUUGUGUAUGGUGACAGUAUGUAAACAGUGUCGUGGAUCAACCAAGGAAGGUGGGAGUUCACUAUGGAAAAUUUAAAGGCAGCAUAACAACAGAGUCCUGAAUCAUCAUGUCUAUUUGAGCUUGGAAUUUCCCCUGCUGGAAACCUAUAAUCCUUUCCUCUGGACCACAAAGCCUUCAACCUUCACUUCUAAGACAUUUUCUCGGCAAGGGAUUCAGCAGCCUGGCAGUUUAGGAAUGGCGAAGUAAGGGCCAAGGCUUCAUUCCUCAUCAGGACCUAAGUUUUCUUUGUUCGGUUCUGAAGUUUUCCAUCUUCAAACCAUUUCUGAUGAGCCAAGACAGGCAGGGAAUUUUGCCGACAGCAAUGGAGCAGUUUGGAUUCCAAGAAGUUCACCAGUUUUAAUAAGCAUCCGGAUAACGGCAUGUGCAUACUUUAAACCUCAAGUAGUCCUCAGUUCCUACCUCCAGUUUGGAUUCCUACACGGGACAGGCAGAUGCAUCAUAUUUCUUUAACUGAUGCAGGUGGCAUCUGCCCUUACUAACAGGCUGCUCCAAGGUGGGAGUUGGGCACAGGUGACAGGAACACACUGUAAAGUGCCACAGCAGAACAAAAAGAAAUGGAAGCUAAGAAUGGCUCCGGAGUCCAAGCAGAGGGUACCCGCACAGAUGAUGAUGAUUUUAAAUAAAGAUCUUAACCCAGGA